Molecule: long non-coding RNA, 709 nt
Filed under: Numida meleagris (helmeted guineafowl)
Lineage: Eukaryota; Metazoa; Chordata; Aves; Galliformes; Numididae
Description: lncRNA (ENSNMEG00000017509.1)
Source: RNAcentral
GCAUCUUUUAAUGAAAGAGCAGUUUGAGCAACAUACUUCAGAAAUGGGGUCCUGUUCAUCCUUUGCUUUACAAAUCGAUCUCCUUGGUUCCUUAAGUGAGGUCCAAUUGGUUGACAUUGUGGUUUGUCUUUGUGUGUAAACUUGCAGCUUCAGAAAAGAGAAGAUGAGCUACAAAGACAGCAACAGGAAACACUCUGCAACAGAGCAAGGAUGAUCUUCUUACUGAGUUACAAUGAGUGACUACUAGUCUGUCAAAAAUAAUUCUAGCAAGUGAUUCACGUAAGCAUGUGGAUAUCUGUGGCUGUUUAUCAAUUUAAUCCAAGGAAGUCUACUGCAGAUGCAUCUGGAAGACUGAAAGACGAUUGUUCAAGAGCACAAGCAGCCUUCAGUGGACAAUCAGAGUGUGCCUACAGCUGGAGAAGCUCACUGGCGUGACGCCUUUGUUGCUCAUAAAUCUGAUUUCACAGAACUUGAAAGGAAGUUGGAUGAUACCAAAAAGGAACUGGAGGAGGUGCAUGCUGAUCUUGUCAUGGUCAUGCAGGAACUUGAUUUGGCAAGAGCUGAGGUAUAACUAUGUGUUCGGACAUCAUCUGAAUGAAUGCUCCAGUACCAGUUUUGUUUUCUUUUGUGGUAGUGGUUAGUGAAUGAUUCUUGUAUAUGUAUAGAUAUAGAUAUUUAAUAAAGAAGGACAUUUUAUUCUGAAUUUUCA